ACGACUCUCGGCAACGGAUAUCUCGGCUCACGCAUCGAUGAAGAACGUAGCAAAAUGCGAUACUUGGUGUGAAUUGCAGAAUCCCGUGAACCAUCGGGUUUUUGAACGCAAGUUGCGCCCGAAGCCAUCCGGUUGGGGCACGCCUGCCUGGGCGUCUCGCAUC
RNAcentral lists this ribosomal RNA (163 nucleotides) under Youngia heterophylla. Its description in RNAcentral is "5.8S ribosomal RNA". It matches the Rfam family "5.8S ribosomal RNA". From Rfam's summary of the family: 5.8S ribosomal RNA (5.8S rRNA) is a component of the large subunit of the eukaryotic ribosome. It is transcribed by RNA polymerase I as part of the 45S precursor that also contains 18S and 28S rRNA. Functionally, it is thought that 5.8S rRNA may be involved in ribosome translocation. The record is from RNAcentral. Lineage: Eukaryota; Viridiplantae; Streptophyta; Magnoliopsida; Asterales; Asteraceae.